This is a long non-coding RNA of Nylanderia fulva, 982 nucleotides long. RefSeq lists it as uncharacterized. The record is from RefSeq and is a predicted model, not a curated record. NCBI's taxonomy places the organism in Eukaryota, Metazoa, Arthropoda, Insecta, Hymenoptera, Formicidae.
CGCUCCCACUCUAGUCCACCGUGGAGUCUCGCCCGCGCGUGUUGUGUUUCUCUCUCUCUCUCCUGUCAUUCCGCUGCAUUCCAACGGAGCAUCCGUCUCUCUCGAACCUGCUGGAUAUCCACCCGCUCCACGGUCGGAUCAAAAUUGUGUCAACAUCAAAUAUUGAAGGGAAGUGGCACUCAAUCAACGAGUUCUAGAGACCAGCCAUUAUGGACCCGAUUCAACUAGUCAGCCAAAGGGACUUGCAAAAGACGUAUCGGUGGUCCAAGGACAAGGGAAAUCGAUCGAAAUUGGCAUAAGACGCCAUCCUGUCUCGCGCAAAUUACAUCUGUCAAGGAAAUCAUGCGUAAUGGACGCAUACAUACACACGUGCCUGUUAUCGAUGCGCCAGAGGGUGGAGACAACAGUACGAUGGCGCAGGAGAGACAGAGAAAGAGAGAGAGAGAGAGAUUCGACGUAUCCGUUAUUCCGCACGGCUUAAUGCACGCUCGAGGACCGGGAGAAUGCAGGAACCGGGGUAUAUACGCGUCCAAAGGCGGUGUGAGACCCGCUUUCCCGCUGACCAUUGGGGGUAAUUAUCGUGGCUCCGGGGAAAGCUCUCUCACGCUCAAAUCCCUUCCGGCUAGCCAGCUCUAGCGCGGUGGCUCGCUGGUGCACGUCAACUCUCGACCCCUUUAAAAAGGUCGGCAUCGCCGUGCAUAACGCCGCGCCGAGGCGGCAAUAACCGGGAGCAGGCAAGCCGUCGUUAUUAACGGUAAACAGACGAGACGUUGAUAAGAUGGAAACUAAUUAAAUCGUGAAGGAUGUUGGCGAUGUUUAAAAUUCAUGUAGCUAUUGACCUUAGAGAGGAGUGAUUACUAGUGUCAAGAGCAACUAUAUGGACGAGAUAUAUAAAAUACGAGCACGUACGUCGUGAUGACUUUGUACAGGCGCAUGACUGGGCAUAAUAAAAUCUAUAUGUAUGUAUAUUAUAUAAAAUUUA